This 212-nucleotide unclassified non-coding RNA is filed under the name Hevea brasiliensis (rubber tree). The record is from RNAcentral. Lineage: Eukaryota; Viridiplantae; Streptophyta; Magnoliopsida; Malpighiales; Euphorbiaceae.
AAUGCAGCUCGAAAUAUGAACCUCUCAUCGUUAGCCCUAAGCCUUGUGCUUCCAAUUCCAGUACAAUGAACAGAAUUACCAUAUGCAGAAUGUUGUGUAGGGGCAUUGGCCUUUCCAACUGCAACAGAUUGGUUUAUGCGAACAGGAUGACUGAUAUCUUCAAGAACACAUAGGUCAGUGCCGUCAUCAACAUUGGAUUUGCUACCAGACAA